This 207-nucleotide unclassified non-coding RNA is filed under the name Hevea brasiliensis (rubber tree). Lineage: Eukaryota; Viridiplantae; Streptophyta; Magnoliopsida; Malpighiales; Euphorbiaceae. The record is from RNAcentral.
AAAUUAUUGAGCUGCUUGGCUGAUGUCAUGUUGCUUCCCACUCUUUGACUUUGUGGGGUUAAUAAAUAUGUCCCUCUCUGAACCAUUUUCAUUUGCCUUAACAGUAAAAGAAAACUACAGGUUUCCUCUUUCCUUUUCCUCUUUCCCUUGGAGGGAAGAAAAGCAGCUUCUGUGGUGGCUGAAACUGUGUGGAUGUUUGAUUGCAAG